UACGAAGGGGGCUAGCGUUGUUCGGAAUUACUGGGCGUAAAGCGCGCGCAGGCGGUCUUCCAAGUCAGUGGUGAAAGCCCGGAGCUCAACUCCGGAACUGCCAUUGAAACUGUGAGACUUGAGGAUGAGAGAGGUGAGUGGAAUUCCCAGUGUAGAGGUGAAAUUCGUAGAUAUUGGGAAGAACACCGGUGGCGAAGGCGGCUCACUGGCCGGUACUGACGCUGAGGUGCGAAAGCGUGGGGAGCAAACAGG
RNAcentral lists this ribosomal RNA (252 nucleotides) under uncultured bacterium. Its description in RNAcentral is "partial 16S ribosomal RNA". It matches the Rfam family "Bacterial small subunit ribosomal RNA", at positions 524 to 776 of the family's 1533-position model. The record is from RNAcentral.